Molecule: unclassified non-coding RNA, 357 nt
Filed under: soil metagenome
Description: partial contains 5.8S ribosomal RNA, internal transcribed spacer 2, and large subunit ribosomal RNA
Rfam family: 5.8S ribosomal RNA (bases 1-120)
Source: RNAcentral
GAUGAAGAACGUAGCGAAAUGCGAUAAGUAAUGUGAAUUGCAGAAUUCAGUGAAUCAUCGAAUCUUUGAACGCACAUUGCGCCCGCCAGUAUUCUGGCGGGCAUGCCUGUCCGAGCGUCAUUUCAACCCUCGAACCCCUCCGGGGGGUCGGCGUUGGGGACCUCGGGAGCCCCUAAGACGGGAUCCCGGCCCCGAAAUACAGUGGCGGUCUCGCCGCAGCCUCUCCUGCGCAGUAGUUUGCACAACUCGCGCCGGGAGCGCGGCGCGUCCACGUCCGUAAAACACCCAACUUCUGAAAUGUUGACCUCGGAUCAGGUAGGAAUACCCGCUGAACUUAAGCAUAUCAUAAGCGGAGGA